Molecule: long non-coding RNA, 204 nt
Filed under: Lathyrus oleraceus (garden pea)
Lineage: Eukaryota; Viridiplantae; Streptophyta; Magnoliopsida; Fabales; Fabaceae
Description: Pisum sativum (pea) long non-coding RNA (PSAT_LNC035904)
Source: RNAcentral
GAGAGAGAGAGAAUAUUUUCUUAAAAAGGAAGAGAAUCAUUUUGAAAUAAACUCAGUAUACUCCCUCUCACGUGACGAUGAAAAACAACAUACCUCUCUUCUCUCUUGUUACUAUUCACGCAUCAUCAUCAUAUAUUAGUUUAUAACAAACCAACAACCCUAAAAGAGGUGGGGACCGAGACACCACAAAAGAAACAGCAUAAC